This 253-nucleotide ribosomal RNA is filed under the name uncultured bacterium. RNAcentral describes it as "partial 16S ribosomal RNA". It matches the Rfam family "Bacterial small subunit ribosomal RNA", at positions 524 to 776 of the family's 1533-position model. The record is from RNAcentral.
UACGAAGGGUGCUAGCGUUGCUCGGAAUCACUGGGCGUAAAGCGCACGUAGGCGGAUUUCUAAGUCGGAGGUGAAAGCCCAGGGCUCAACCCUGGAAUUGCCUUCGAUACUGGAAGUCUCGAGUUCGGAAGAGGUUGGUGGAACUGCGAGUGUAGAGGUGAAAUUCGUAGAUAUUCGCAAGAACACCAGUGGCGAAGGCGGCCAACUGGUCCGAUACUGACGCUGAGGUGCGAAAGCGUGGGGAGCAAACAGG